GACGAACGCUGGCGGCGUGCUUAACACAUGCAAGUCGAGCGGAGAGGCGAACGGGUGAGUAACGCGUGAGUAACUGCCCCCCUCUCUGGGAUAACAGUUGGAAACGGAUGCUAAUACCGGAUAGUGGGGGAUGACUCGCGUCCUAUCAGCUUGUUGGUGGGGUAGUGGCCGACCUAGGCGACGACGGGUAGCCGGCCUGAGAGGGCGACCGGCCACUUUGGGCUGAGUGAGGGCCCAGAAUCCUACGGGGGGCAGCAGUGGGGAAUAUUUCACAAUGUGGGAGACCCUGAUGCAGCAGCGCCGCGUGCGGGAUGACGGCCUUGGGGUUGUAAACCGCUUUCAGCCAUGACGCGGUAGUGGCAGAAGAAGCACCGGCUAACUACGUGCCAGCCGCCGCGGUAAUAC
RNAcentral lists this ribosomal RNA (405 nucleotides) under uncultured bacterium. RNAcentral's name for it is "partial 16S ribosomal RNA". It matches the Rfam family "Bacterial small subunit ribosomal RNA", at positions 28 to 526 of the family's 1533-position model. The record is from RNAcentral.